GGGGAAUAUUGCGCAAUGGGGGGAACCCUGACGCAGCAACGCCGCGUGAGUGAAGAAGGCCUUCGGGUCGUAAAGCUCUGUCUUCGCUGACGAUAAUGACGGUAAGCGAGGAGGAAGCCACGGCUAACUACGUGCCAGCAGCCGCGGUAAUACGUAGGUGGCGAGCGUUGUCCGGAAUUACUGGGCGUAAAGGGUGCGCAGGCGGUGUUUCAAGUCAGAUGUGAAACUCCGGGGCUUAACUCCGGAACUGCAUUUGAAACUGGAAUGCUAGAGUGCAGGAGAGGAAAGCGGAAUUCCUAGUGUAGCGGUGAAAUGCGUAGAUAUUAGGAAGAACACCAGUGGCGAAGGCGGCUUUCUGGACUGUAACUGACGCUGAGGCACGAAAGCGUGGGGAGCAAAC
Molecule: ribosomal RNA, 400 nt
Filed under: uncultured bacterium
Lineage: Bacteria
Description: bacterial SSU rRNA
Rfam family: Bacterial small subunit ribosomal RNA
Source: RNAcentral